Molecule: long non-coding RNA, 601 nt
Filed under: Callithrix jacchus (white-tufted-ear marmoset)
Lineage: Eukaryota; Metazoa; Chordata; Mammalia; Primates; Cebidae
Description: lncRNA (ENSCJAG00000079732.1)
Source: RNAcentral
GGGGACGGGCUAUAUAGGAGUGACAUUUUACAGGCAUAGAGAAUAACCAACAACAAGAGGUCCAGUCAUUUAUUCACCAUUGCAUAAAGAUGUAUUCAAGAAGCAGGUAGAAUUCUGGUAUUUCUGGACCACCAUUAGGAAGACAAAAAGUGUUAUACAAUGACGACAUAGACCAGGGGUGGUAUUCUUAGCACUUUGAGAGGCCCAGGGGGUCGGAUCACCUUAGGUCAGGAGUUCAAGACCAGCCUAGCCAACAUGGUGAAAUCUCAUUUCUACUAAAAAAAAAAAAAAAAAUUAGCAGAGUGUGGUGGUGGACGUCUGUAAUUACAGCUAUCCAGGAGGCUGAGGCAGGAGAAUCUCUGGAACCCAGAAGGCGGAGGUUGCAUUGAGCUGAGAUCGUGCCACUGCACAGAGAGAGACUCCAUCUCAAAAAAAAAGGGGGGGUGCAUCAUAAGCAUAAAAGCCUUCUCAACUGCUUACAAGGGGAAUGAUCCUGCUGUAUCUAGAACAACGCAAAGAAAAAUGCACUGAACAGCCACCUACUUACUAUCCACGUUUAAUAAAUAUCUACCAGAAUAUCUUUGUCAAAUCUUCACCAUGA